Sebastes umbrosus (honeycomb rockfish) is the source of this 242-nucleotide long non-coding RNA. RefSeq lists it as uncharacterized. The record is from RefSeq and is a predicted model, not a curated record. Lineage: Eukaryota; Metazoa; Chordata; Actinopteri; Perciformes; Sebastidae. The transcript has 3 exons.
UCAGGUUACCUGAAGAAAUAACUCUGGAUUCAGCUAUCAGUGCAAUUUACAACUUUUAUUAUCUAAUGAUUUAGAUAAGGGCUAUUCAAGCGUUCAUACUGGGAAGAUGAUUCACCUCAAAAAAAAGUAUCCGCUGAGUUACAGACGUCUGUUUCCCAAUGUGAGUCUAUAGGAAAAAGUAUUUUUGGGCCCAAUGGCAUCACGUGACGAACACGGAAGUUGUAGUACUGCCGUUUGGCCAC